GGAAUUCAGAAAAUGAUACCCUAACAUGAAGACCCGGGAAGGAAACUCUCUCUCUGACCUUCCCUUGACCUCUUGUCUCUCACUUAUUAUUCUCCCCUGAGGCUAGCCACAGAAACUAGAAUUCCUCUGCCUCAAGGUGGUUCACAGAACCAAGACCCCUUUUCCCUAAAGGAAGCCAUAAAGUUUAAAAAUAUUACCCUAACUUUCCCCCACCUUUCUAUGAAACAGCUAGCUGUAAAAAAAUUACCCUCAUUCCAGAGGAAUCCUACUCCAUCCCUAGGGGGAAGAAAUGCUACAAUAGAGAGGUCAAGAGGAAUCUAAACAGACAGGCCUUGCUGAGGUUUCCCUGCUCAGUCUGUUACUACUAGAGCUUACCCUUUUUAUCUCAUCACAUUUCUACAUGGUUGUUCCAGCUUCGUCAAACCUAAGCAUAUAAUCAGAUAGUUUCCAUUGUAUCUUUGAGUCUUCAUUCUGAAGACUCCCAUGUCAUAUAAAACUGUUAUUGAACACAUCUGUUAUGCUUUUCUCUUGUUAACCUCUCUUUGUUACAGGGGUGUCAGCUGUGACCCUCGAAGGAAAGGAAUCACCCUCUUUCUGACCUUAUACCACCUUCAGCAGGGAUGAAGGCAGUGAGAGAAAAGUUAGUUAAAAAUUUUUCCUCUGGAAUGUUAGAAGAGUCACUCCCAGGACCUAUAAGAGGAAGUGAACCCAGGCAGCUUAAGGUAUAGUCUGUGGUGGUGAUUGACUGAUUCGUGCAUGUCCAUGCAAUUUGGCGCAUUCAGCUGCGUGCUUGCGGAUGUGGAUGUAUUUCACAGAAGCAGCAGCAGCCUGCCUUCCCUUCCCUGGAUUCCAUCUGCUGUGCAAAACAAGAUCUGUAGUCAUUCCCAGGUACGCGGGACUUCUCUAGGCUAGAAGGUCUGUACAGCACAGCCCAAGGAACUUCCUUUCUAUGAAUUUUAGUUUAGAAUACAGGAGAGUCAACGCUUUCCCAUGUUGUGAUGUUUACCAUGUGCAAUUUACUGUGAGACAAGUUAACCAGACCUGCAUAAAGAAUAUCCAAAAAAUCUGAUCAACAUAGCCAAUCUAUAGCACUCAGAUCCAGAGCACUCAGAUCCAGAGUUCUUCCAACCUCUAUAGCCAAAGACUGGACAUUUUUAUCCCAUUUUUUUUUCUAACUUUGUUGGAUAAUAAUAUUGAAUUCUAGGACUUGGGUCACUUUCCUUGUUUUCUGGUUUUUCUUGUACAUUUUUUUGUUGUUUUACAAUUUUCUUUUUAUUAAUAUUAUCCAGAUAUGGAACUAUAUAUUGCAAACCUGUUUUGUUUCUAGCCUGACCAUCUCUUUCUGCCUCUGCACCAUUGAUUAGACCCACCUUUGAUGAUGGCAGACACAGCCACACAUGACUAUCAGCUCUGGUUAAUGUCCCUGGCUUAUUUCAGGAUCAUUGCCAUGACAGAAACAUGUCAGCAAUGGGUGAUUUCCACUGAACAAUGACUUGUAGACUGUGGCCAUGCAAGCAGAGCAAAGAGAAAAGAUCAGCAAUUAUCCAGUGGAUGUGAUCCAUGCUGACAUGCAAUCUGGAUAAUUCAAAUAGAAACAACUUCUUUUGCCUCACUGGCAGGUUUGGGGCUUGAUUUAGUGAGAUCAUUGUUUAACUUUCUUUGCCUGUAGAAAUGUAGUACAUGUGUUUGCUGGUUAAGUGAGGGUUUGGGG
Molecule: long non-coding RNA, 1711 nt
Filed under: Macaca nemestrina (pig-tailed macaque)
Lineage: Eukaryota; Metazoa; Chordata; Mammalia; Primates; Cercopithecidae
Description: lncRNA (ENSMNEG00000045690.1)
Source: RNAcentral